CGCGGGGUAGAGCAGUUGGUAGCUCGUCGGGCUCAUAACCCGGAGGUCGUCGGUUCAAAUCCGGCCCCCGCAACCA
Molecule: transfer RNA, 76 nt
Filed under: Bacillota bacterium
Lineage: Bacteria; Bacillati; Bacillota
Also listed under: 1 other name
Description: tRNA-Met
Rfam family: tRNA
About the family: Transfer RNA (tRNA) molecules are approximately 80 nucleotides in length. Their secondary structure includes four short double-helical elements and three loops (D, anti-codon, and T loops).
Source: RNAcentral